GAUGAACGCUGGCGGCGUGCCUAAUACAUGCAAGUCGAGCGAACGGACGAGAAGCUUGCUUCUCUGAUGUUAGCGGCGGACGGGUGAGUAACACGUGGAUAACCUACCUAUAAGACUGGGAUAACUUCGGGAAACCGGAGCUAAUACCGGAUAAUAUUUUGAACCGCAUGGUUCAAAAGUGAAAGACGGUCUUGCUGUCACUUAUAGAUGGAUCCGCGCUGCAUUAGCUAGUUGGUAAGGUAACGGCUUACCAAGGCAACGAUGCAUAGCCGACCUGAGAGGGUGAUCGGCCACACUGGAACUGAGACACGGUCCAGACUCCUACGGGAGGCAGCAGUAGGGAAUCUUCCGCAAUGGGCGAAAGCCUGACGGAGCAACGCCGCGUGAGUGAUGAAGGUCUUCGGAUCGUAAAACUCUGUUAUUAGGGAAGAACAUAUGUGUAAGUAACUGUGCACAUCUUGACGGUACCUAAUCAGAAAGCCACGGCUAACUACGUGCCAGCAGCCGCGGUAAUACGUAGGUGGCAAGCGUUAUCCGGAAUUAUUGGGCGUAAAGCGCGCGUAGGCGGUUUUUUAAGUCUGAUGUGAAAGCCCACGGCUCAACCGUGGAGGGUCAUUGGAAACUGGAAAACUUGAGUGCAGAAGAGGAAAGUGGUAUUCCAUGUGUAGCGGUGAAAUGCGCAGAGAUAUGGAGGAACACCAGUGGCGAAGGCGACUUUCUGGUCUGUAACUGACGCUGAUGUGCGAAAGCGUGGGGAUCAAACAGGAUUAGAUACCCUGGUAGUCCACGCCGUAAACGAUGAGUGCUAAGUGUUAGGGGGUUUCCGCCCCUUAGUGCUGCAGCUAACGCAUUAAGCACUCCGCCUGGGGAGUACGACCGCAAGGUUGAAACUCAAAGGAAUUGACGGGGACCCGCACAAGCGGUGGAGCAUGUGGUUUAAUUCGAAGCAACGCGAAGAACCUUACCAAAUCUUGACAUCCUUUGACAACUCUAGAGAUAGAGCUUUCCCCUUCGGGGGACAAAGUGACAGGUGGUGCAUGGUUGUCGUCAGCUCGUGUCGUGAGAUGUUGGGUUAAGUCCCGCGACGAGCGCAACCCUUAAGCUUAGUUGCCAUCAUUAAGUUGGGCACUCUAAGUUGACUGCCGGUGACAAACCGGAGGAAGGUGGGGAUGACGUCAAAUCAUCAUGCCCCUUAUGAUUUGGGCUACACACGUGCUACAAUGGACAAUACAAAGGGCAGCGAAACCGCGAGGUCAAGCAAAUCCCAUAAAGUUGUUCUCAGUUCGGAUUGUAGUCUGCAACUCGACUACAUGAAGCUGGAAUCGCUAGUAAUCGUAGAUCAGCAUGCUACGGUGAAUACGUUCCCGGGUCU
Molecule: ribosomal RNA, 1372 nt
Filed under: uncultured bacterium
Lineage: Bacteria
Description: bacterial SSU rRNA
Rfam family: Bacterial small subunit ribosomal RNA
Source: RNAcentral